CAAUUCGAUGGCGGGCGUGGACACCUGGUUUUAUCGGCAUAUUAUACGUCAUGUCGUGCCUACUUUUUCAACAAACAAUGAGCUGCAACAGACAAUUGCCCCCAUUUGGGCCUCGUCUCUUUCGAGCAAAGGCUCUCUUUGGCCAAGCAAUGCGGUCAUGCUCAAAAGAAAUAUUGGCAGCUGCCAAAAUGAUUCCCUCUGAGAAACUUGGCAAGCUCCUGUUUUUCGCAUGCAGGCUCUACAACACGUGCAAAGACUCUAUACCAGAAAAAGAACCAGAACAGGUA
This is a non-coding RNA of Dermacentor albipictus, 287 nucleotides long. Lineage: Eukaryota; Metazoa; Arthropoda; Arachnida; Ixodida; Ixodidae. The record is from RefSeq and is a predicted model, not a curated record.